Molecule: ribosomal RNA, 253 nt
Filed under: uncultured bacterium
Lineage: Bacteria
Description: partial 16S ribosomal RNA
Rfam family: Bacterial small subunit ribosomal RNA
Source: RNAcentral
UACGGAGGGUGCAAACGUUGCUCGGAAUUAUUGGGCGUAAAGCGCACGUAGGCGGCCAAGUAAGUCGGGUGUGAAAGCCCAGGGCUUAACCCUGGAAGUGCACUCGAAACUGCUUGGCUUGAAUGUGGAAGAGGGUCGCGGAAUUCCCGGUGUAGAGGUGAAAUUCGUAGAUAUCGGGAGGAACACCAGUGGCGAAGGCGGCGACCUGGGCCAACAUUGACGCUGAGGUGCGAAAGCGUGGGGAGCCAACAGG